GAAAACUGAAUACCUGAUAAAGAUCGGUAACAGGGGCGAGGUUGCAAACUAUAGAAAGGCUGACCAGGAGCUGAUUGAUUCUCUUGAAAAAUGUGCUGUGGACAAAUCCUUUAAACAGUGGAAAAAUAAGUUUCCACAAAAGGUGGUUCAGAAAUUGGAAGGUAGAAAGCCCUACACUGAAAACACGUUGGCAUUACUGCGCUUCAUACGCAUUCUCCUUGUGCAUUAUCCCGAGGAAGCAGCCCAAAUUGAUGUUCUGGCAUUGUUUCCUGAUCUCUUUGGGAGUAUUUACACAUUUGCAAAAAACCAAGGCUGGAAUUCAGAGACACCAUUAAAGGAAAUGUUUCAAAGAGAAGACAGCGAGGAUAGUAGCACAGUUUUGAUGAUGCCAUCUAAAAGCACGGAGGAGUCCCUGGGUAUCCCCGUUCAAGAGUCUCAACCCAGUGAAGUGAAAGUUGUCAGCAGCCAUAAAAAGUAAAAUAAUAACUGCUAGUAGUAGCAGAGAUGUCAUGUCGGUGUGCCUCCUGCUGCUCUGUUAGUUCUUAAGGGAUCACGACAGAAGACACUGAUCUGCUGUGGUGAUCCACAUGUUUGCACAUAGUUGUCCUUCCUUACACAACACUCCAUUUUACCAGCACUAACAUUGCAGCAUGUUCAAGCUAGGUCUGCUCCUUAAUGGAGCCACAACCAAGACCCUUAGACUGAACCAGCUAAAUGGAUUUUAGACACGAUGUAUGAUUUAUACUUGUGUGAAAUAAGUGCCUGAUGUUUUGAAAAAGUAACUAUUGAUUUUUAAAAGUAUGAGAGAAAUAGGUUAGAAUUACAAUUGUUUGAGUCUCUUUACUCUAUUAUUUUAA
Molecule: long non-coding RNA, 857 nt
Organism: Haplochromis burtoni (Burton's mouthbrooder)
Lineage: Eukaryota; Metazoa; Chordata; Actinopteri; Cichliformes; Cichlidae
Product: serine/threonine-protein kinase/endoribonuclease IRE1a
Source: RefSeq, a predicted model, not a curated record